Molecule: ribosomal RNA, 293 nt
Filed under: uncultured bacterium
Lineage: Bacteria
Description: partial 16S ribosomal RNA
Rfam family: Archaeal small subunit ribosomal RNA
Source: RNAcentral
GUGCCAGCAGCCGCGGUAAUACCGGCAGCACGAGUGAUGGCCGAUUUUAUUGGGCCUAAAGCGUUCGUAGCCGGCCGGACAAGUCCGUUGGGAAAUCCACGCGCUCAACGCGUGGGCGUCCAGCGGAAACUAUCCGGCUUGGGGCCGGAAGACUCGAGGGGUACGUCCGGGGUAGGAGUGAAAUCCCGUAAUCCUGGACGGACCACCGAUGGCGAAAGCAUCUCGAGAAAACGGAUCCGACAGUGAGGGACGAAAGCCAGGGUCUCCAACCGGAUUAGAAACCCGGGUAGUCC